ACGUAGGUGGCAAGCGUUGCCCGGAAUUAUUGGGCGUAAAGGGCUCGCAGGCGGUUUCUUAAGUCUGAUGUGAAAGCCCCCGGCUCAACCGGGGAGGGUCAUUGGAAACUGGGGGACUUGAGUGCAGAAGAGGAAAGUGGAAUUCCACGUGUAGCGGUGAAAUGCGUAGAGAUGUGGAGGAACACCAGUGGCGAAGGCGGCUACCUGGACAGGUACUGACGCUGAAGCGCGAAAGCUAGGGGAGCAAACAGGA
RNAcentral lists this ribosomal RNA (253 nucleotides) under uncultured prokaryote. Its description in RNAcentral is "partial 16S ribosomal RNA". It matches the Rfam family "Bacterial small subunit ribosomal RNA", at positions 525 to 777 of the family's 1533-position model. The record is from RNAcentral.